Molecule: long non-coding RNA, 248 nt
Organism: Harpia harpyja (harpy eagle)
Lineage: Eukaryota; Metazoa; Chordata; Aves; Accipitriformes; Accipitridae
Exons: 3
Source: RefSeq, a predicted model, not a curated record
AAAGGGAGAAGGUGGAAGAACCUGUGAGCAUGCCCUGCUUCCUGUGCCGUUACGCAGAUUCUAAACACAGCAAAUCGAAGAGAGGGCUACACCAAACGGACGGCUCUCCCAGACGGGCUCAGUGCCACACACGCUGGGGGCAGGUCUGAAUGCAAGCUUGAUGGCAACUCUCUGCUCGGUCUGCCAAGGCUCCAGCUCAAAACGGCUUCUCGGCAUCCUCCACCUUCUUUUUCAAAAGUAACAAAGCC